This 85-nucleotide non-coding RNA is filed under the name unclassified sequences. Its description in RNAcentral is "skipping-rope RNA". It matches the Rfam family "skipping-rope RNA". From Rfam's summary of the family: Firmicutes, Fusobacteria, AlphaProteobacteria, Spirochaetes. The record is from Rfam by way of RNAcentral.
ACUCACUGAGGGCGGAACUGGCAGCCGCCGCCGGAUAGCUGAAAAGCUUGAUUAGGAGAUGCAGGUUAGUCACCCUGCCUUGAGU